AGGCUGCUGCGCUCUGGUGCCACCAGGGAUGAGAACAACGGCCCUGUGGCCACUGCCAGCUCCAGCUCCAGCAGCCCCAGCAGCUCCCAGACCAGCAUCUCCUGGAUGGGGGCUCCUGCCCAUGACCCCAAAGUCUAUGAUGUGGAGGAGGAAGCUGGCACAUUGGAGGCUGCUUUCCCUGGGGGUCCCAGCCACCCCCCACCUGUGCCGGUCCCCGUGGAGCGGGAGAGGCCCCCGGAGGAACCACAGCAGGAGUCUGUCUCCACAGAAGACCCACAUCAUUUUUGUGCUGAGGACCCUAGAGUUGGGUGCACACCUCCCUUGACUUGCUGAAUAGACUUCAUUUCAUGCAGUCCAGGAUAUCACUGGCAUUCCAGGUCUCCUGCACAUGUUGUACCUCUACCUGGAGAAGGACUGGGAGUAUGCUCUGCCUUCCUGAUGGCUUUAGAAACCAGCUUUCAACCUGGCCAACAGAUGUAAAUGUCAAACAGAAAUAAACCAGAAGAAAGUCCUACAAAAUAAAUAACAAUAUAAAAAGGUAAA
Molecule: long non-coding RNA, 543 nt
Organism: Passer domesticus (house sparrow)
Lineage: Eukaryota; Metazoa; Chordata; Aves; Passeriformes; Passeridae
Exons: 2
Source: RefSeq, a predicted model, not a curated record